Molecule: ribosomal RNA, 300 nt
Filed under: uncultured Lactobacillus sp.
Lineage: Bacteria; Bacillati; Bacillota; Bacilli; Lactobacillales; Lactobacillaceae
Description: bacterial SSU rRNA
Rfam family: Bacterial small subunit ribosomal RNA
Source: RNAcentral
GCUAACCCAGUGCAUGGAGCCGCGGGAAGACAGAGGGGGCAAACGGUAAUCGUAAGUACGGGGCGUAAAGACAACGGAGGCGUGCUGUCAAGUCGGAUGUGAAAGCCCCGGGCUCAACCUGGGAACUGCAGUCGAAACUGGCAGGCUAGAGUCUUGUAGAGGGGGGUAGAAUUCCAGGUGUAGCGGUGAAAUGCGUAGAGAUCUGGAGGAAUACCGGUGGCGAAGGCGGCCCCCUGGACAAAGACUGACGCUCAGGUGCGAAAGCGUGGGGAGCAAACAGGAUUAGAUACCCCAGUAGUC